ACAGCGGAGAGUUUGAUCCUGGCUCAGGAUGAACGCUAGCGACAGGCUUAACACAUGCAAGUCGAGGGGCAGCGGUGGUGAAGGCUUGCCUUUACCAGCCGGCGACCGGCGCACGGGUGAGUAACACGUAUGCAACCUG
Molecule: ribosomal RNA, 139 nt
Filed under: Muribaculaceae bacterium
Lineage: Bacteria; Pseudomonadati; Bacteroidota; Bacteroidia; Bacteroidales; Muribaculaceae
Description: partial 16S ribosomal RNA
Rfam family: Bacterial small subunit ribosomal RNA
Source: RNAcentral